AUACGUAGGGGGCGAGCGUUGUCCGGAGUUACUGGGCGUAAAGGGCGUGUAGGCGGCCUGUUAAGUCAGGUGUGAAAUUCCGGGGCUUAACUCCGGAGCUGCGCUUGAAACUGGCAGGCUAGAGGGCAGGAGAGGGAAGUGGAAUUCCCGGUGUAGCGGUGGAAUGCGUAGAUAUCGGGAGGAACACCAGUGGCGAAGGCGGCUUCCUGGACUGUACCUGACGCUGAGGCGCGAAAGCUAGGGGAGCAAACAGGAUUAGAUACCCUGGUAGUCCUAGCCGUAAACGAUGAGUGCUAGGUGUGGGGGGUUAAAAUCCCUCCGUGCCGGAGUUAACACAAUAAGCACUCCGCCUGGGGAGUACGGCCGCAAGGCUAAA
Molecule: ribosomal RNA, 376 nt
Filed under: uncultured bacterium
Lineage: Bacteria
Description: bacterial SSU rRNA
Rfam family: Bacterial small subunit ribosomal RNA
Source: RNAcentral